Molecule: ribosomal RNA, 460 nt
Filed under: uncultured bacterium
Lineage: Bacteria
Description: partial 16S ribosomal RNA
Rfam family: Bacterial small subunit ribosomal RNA
Source: RNAcentral
CCUACGGGUAGCAGCAGUGAGGAAUAUUGGUCAAUGGACGAGAGUCUGAACCAGCCAAGUAGCGUGAAGGAUGACUGCCCUAUGGGUUGUAAACUUCUUUUAUAUGGGAAUAAAAUGUUCCACGUGUGGGAUUUUGUAUGUACCAUAUGAAUAAGGAUCGGCUAACUCCGUGCCAGCAGCCGCGGUAAUACGGAGGAUCCGAGCGUUAUCCGGAUUUAUUGGGUUUAAAGGGAGCGUAGGUGGAUUGUUAAGUCAGUUGUGAAAGUUUGCGGCUCAACCGUAAAAUUGCAGUUGAAACUGGCAGUCUUGAGUACAGUAGAGGUGGGCGGAAUUCGUGGUGUAGCGGUGAAAUGCUUAGAUAUCACGAAGAACUCAGAUUGCGAAGGCAGUUCACUGGACUGCAACUGACACUGAGGCUCGAAAGUGUGGGUAUCAAACAGGAUUAGAUACCCUAGUAGUC